This 945-nucleotide long non-coding RNA is filed under the name Cucumis sativus (cucumber). RNAcentral's name for it is "long non-coding RNA (CSAT_LNC002283)". The record is from RNAcentral. Lineage: Eukaryota; Viridiplantae; Streptophyta; Magnoliopsida; Cucurbitales; Cucurbitaceae.
CUUGGGCGAAGUAAUCCGCGGCCACAAGGCCUUCGACUGGCCGGACUCGAAUGCCUGGUGGGUCAAGCCCUGUUUCAUUGUCCAGAGAAAGAUGCUCCAACCAGCAUAGUGGUCUGGAAAAUUCAAUUCAAAUUUUCAAAUGGGUACUGCCAGAAUCAAUACAAAGCUUCAGAAAUGUAAAAUCGGUCUGGAACUUCCUAACCUUUUCAAUGUUUCAGUGAAACUCCCACCCCACAGGCGCUUUCGAAACAGGCCCUCGGCGCAGGGCUUGCCAUCCCAGAGCUCUAGCCCGCCGGUGACAAUCCCGGGCACUAAAACGACUGGGUGACGACCUGAUAUGCCUUCUCGCUUUAGAACAGCGCCCGGAGAAUCAAUGACCGGAAAGCCAGGUAGUGAAAGAGGCAAAUAAUGGUAGAGGAAAAACAUCAACCACCAAAAUGUACAAAUAUAUCCAAUAAUCCAACAGCAGUUAUCUAAGCACUUCCACUCUCUUGAUUGGCCCCUGUUGAUGUUCUUGUUUCUUUUCUUCUUAUCGUCCUUGUCUUGCUUCUUUUGCAUCAAGUUCUUCACAUAUGCGACAAUGACAUUACGUUUAUUAUCUGAUUUAUGUGCUUCAAUGGAUUGAAGCCCCAUAGAAGAACUCUUAACAGGGUUGACGAAGUACAAUUUGCGGAGACGAAGAACAGAGGCCAUUGAAUAAGGAGUGAAAAAGUUGAAAUCAAGAAAAUUAAAGAAGAAUGAAGAGAACCCAUGAAUUAUGGGGGAUUUUAAAACAGGAAAAAGGCUUUUGAAAACUUGAUGGAGCUGUCAAGAAGGGAAUACACGUGGUGAAAUGAAAAAGAGAAGAGGGAGUAAAUGGCCUGGUGGCCAUGGGUGGCUGAAGGUGUGCAGUAGGAAAAAAACAGGGGACGUGAAAGAAAAGAGAAAAAGGAAGGAAACGGUUUA